This 399-nucleotide ribosomal RNA is filed under the name uncultured Rhizobium sp. RNAcentral describes it as "bacterial SSU rRNA". It matches the Rfam family "Bacterial small subunit ribosomal RNA", at positions 358 to 774 of the family's 1533-position model. The record is from RNAcentral. Lineage: Bacteria; Pseudomonadati; Pseudomonadota; Alphaproteobacteria; Hyphomicrobiales; Rhizobiaceae.
GGAAUAUUGGACAAUGGGCGCAAGCCUGAUCCAGCCAUGCCGCGUGAGUGAUGAAGGCCCUAGGGUUGUAAAGCUCUUUCACCGGAGAAGAUAAUGACGGUAUCCGGAGAAGAAGCCCCGGCUAACUUCGUGCCAGCAGCCGCGGUAAUACGAAGGGGGCUAGCGUUGUUCGGAUUUACUGGGCGUAAAGCGCACGUAGGCGGAUCGAUCAGUCAGGGGUGAAAUCCCAGAGCUCAACUCUGGAACUGCCUUUGAUACUGUCGAUCUGGAGUAUGGAAGAGGUGAGUGGAAUUCCGAGUGUAGAGGUGAAAUUCGUAGAUAUUCGGAGGAACACCAGUGGCGAAGGCGGCUCACUGGUCCAUUACUGACGCUGAGGUGCGAAAGCGUGGGGAGCAAACA